CUGGGAAGGUCACUUGCUCCCAGAGGAGACCACCAUAGUGUUCGAUAGGAGCAUGUUGUAAGGAACUCUGGCCUCUCCUAAAGAUUUCUCUCCGUGCAGCGCCACCCUGCUCCUCUGCCCCCACAGGUUCACAGGGUACCCCAAAACUACAGACGGGAGAAAAUCUCCCAACUGGUGCUCUGGAAGGAGAUGGAGUCCGAGAGAGGUGAGGCAGGGUUUCUUCUCUCCAAGUAGCAACCAGAGAAGAGCUUUUCUCCUAGAAUCGUCAUCUCUGAGCCCGUCCACAGCUCCUGCAGCGCCUCACACCUACUGGCCCAACCUGCAGGCCUGGGAGCCUCUCCCAGGUAUUGGCUGCUGUCCCAGCAGAAGAAUUUGCCAGAAGGAAAGACCACAUGGACUCCUCCAAGCUGGCUCCUUUUAGAACCAUAGGCUGGAGGAGGUGCCUCCCUUGUGCUGUAAGCAGGGAGCGGCCCUGCUGCCAGGACACCGCAGGUUCUGGGAACAGGGGAAAAGGUUAUUCCAGGUCAGUGAGGAGGCUGGUACCAAAAUAAGUCCUGGCACUGGCUUGAUCCCAGCAUGGCUACGUGAGGCAUACAGGAUGGAAAAGUGGGUAAGAGGAACAUUAGCCUGAGGACAUCCAGAGAGAAGGAAGCCAGCAGAAACUGGACCAAGCAGGACACAUGUGCAAACAGAAGACACCGAGGAGAAU
This 709-nucleotide long non-coding RNA is filed under the name Equus caballus (horse). Its description in RNAcentral is "lncRNA (ENSECAG00000042061.2)". Lineage: Eukaryota; Metazoa; Chordata; Mammalia; Perissodactyla; Equidae. The record is from RNAcentral.